RNAcentral lists this unclassified non-coding RNA (210 nucleotides) under Glomus sp. Its description in RNAcentral is "partial contains 5.8S ribosomal RNA and internal transcribed spacer 2". The stretch from base 1 to 65 matches the Rfam family "5.8S ribosomal RNA", at positions 84 to 154 of the family's 154-position model. Lineage: Eukaryota; Fungi; Glomeromycota; Glomeromycetes; Glomerales; Glomeraceae. The record is from RNAcentral.
GUGAAUCAUCGAAUUUUUGAACGCAAAUUGCACUCUCCUCGGAGAGUAUGCCUGUUUGAGGGUCAGCCUAUAAAAAUCGACAUCGUUGCUGUUUCGCGGUGGCGUUCGUCGGAAAUUGGGUCAUCUUAAAUCUUUUUGUUUUAAGCGACUUAAAAUUUUCUUUUUGUUUCCUUAACGUUGCUUCUAUCUAUUUCUUCACUCGUCUUUUAC